AACGCUAGCGGCAGGCUUAACACAUGCAAGUCGAGGGGUAUUUAUCUUCGGAUAGAGAGACCGGCGCACGGGUGCGUAACGCGUAUGCAAUCUACCUUUUACAGAGGGAUAGCCCAGAGAAAUUUGGAUUAAUACCUCAUAGUAUGCAGAGUUGGCAUCAGCCCUGCAUUAAAGUCACAACGGUAAAAGAUGAGCAUGCGUCCCAUUAGCUAGUUGGUAAGGUAACGGCUUACCAAGGCAACGAUGGGUAGGGGUCCUGAGAGGGAGAUCCCCCACACUGGUACUGAGACACGGACCAGACUCCUACGGGAGGCAGCAGUGAGGAAUAUUGGUCAAUGGGCGCAAGCCUGAACCAGCCAUGCCGCGUGCAGGAUGACGGUCCUAUGGAUUGUAAACUGCUUUUGUACGAGAAGAAACACUCCUUCGUGAAGGAGCUUGACGGUAUCGUAAGAAUAAGGAUCGGCUAACUCCGUGCCAGCAGCCGCGGUAAUACGGAGGAUCCAAGCGUUAUCCGGAAUCAUUGGGUUUAAAGGGUCCGUAGGCGGUUUAGUAAGUCAGUGGUGAAAGCCCAUCGCUCAACGGUGGAACGGCCAUUGAUACUGCUAGACUUGAAUUAUUAGGAAGUAACUAGAAUAUGUAGUGUAGCGGUGAAAUGCUUAGAGAUUACAUGGAAUACCAAUUGCGAAGGCAGGUUACUACUAAUGGAUUGACGCUGAUGGACGAAAGCGUGGGUAGCGAACAGGAUUAGAUACCCUGGUAGUCCUCGCCGUAAACGAUGGAUACUAGCUGUUGGGAGCGAUCUCAGUGGCUAAGCGAAAGUGAUAAGUAUCCCACCUGGGGAGUACGUUCGCAAGAAUGAAACUCAAAGGAAUUGACGG
RNAcentral lists this ribosomal RNA (878 nucleotides) under uncultured bacterium. Its description in RNAcentral is "bacterial SSU rRNA". It matches the Rfam family "Bacterial small subunit ribosomal RNA", at positions 32 to 916 of the family's 1533-position model. The record is from RNAcentral.